This 1697-nucleotide long non-coding RNA is filed under the name Bemisia tabaci. Its description in RNAcentral is "lncRNA ENSSSA2NGG011166". The record is from RNAcentral. Lineage: Eukaryota; Metazoa; Arthropoda; Insecta; Hemiptera; Aleyrodidae.
GAGCCGAUCUGUUCUACCACACUGGAAAAACAGACCGUAACACCAUCCAAGUUGUGUUGGUAGAGAAGGGUCCUUACAAAGGCGUGAUCACCGAUGUACUACAGCACCUAAAAAGCCAGAUCUUAAACGAUCAGUCCUUAGGAUUAUCCCUAGCACGACUUUCGCUGGCAGGCGAUCCGUACGACCCGGAAGCAAUAUUUUCUACUUUUAGAUCAUUCCUGAUGAUAGUGCUACUGGUCAUUGUUGGUUACAUUUGUUUUAUAGUGUAUAAUUCCAACAUAAACUUCGUUCAACUAUUCAGAUCGUCGAACCUCGCAAAUUUCGUCAGGUUUGAAAAUGUAACAGGUGAGGUUGAGCUGCGGUAUGAAGUUCAGCCUACAUUUAGGAAAUCUUUCCGCAACCCUCUCUCUUCCCUUCUGCAGACUGCCUCUGGGAGCGAGGAACAAUCAGAGCCGGAGCUACAUGUCCCGGAGGAACCGACGAUUUCUUACAAUAACUUGGCCCUUGAAAAUUCUGAAUCUGAACCUGAGCAAGAAAGUGGAGACGUCGAGAUGAAUGAAAUGGCAGCUAAUAAAUCGGAAGAGAAACAAUUGCAUGAUAUUGAUUUAAGCUGAACGAGUAUGUGUGUUUAUUUUAUCAACACAAAGUUUUUACAGGAGUCUUCAUAAUUUAUGCUUUGUGAACUUAUGUAUAGAUGUUACAAAAAGGUAUUUUUGGGAGUCUGAAGGUCUCAGCAACUCGCAGUGAACAUUUUUUUCGUACCGCGGAACUAGCCAACUCCGUGCCUUGGUUUUUUUAAUUACACGCUAACUGACUAAAUUUAUUCAUUUCAACAUUUUUAUUGAUGAAUUUACGCAGAGUUUACAUUCAAUUUUUGCCUUUCUGACAGAAUUCUGAAAAGUUCCAUGAAUGUUAGGUAGGUACGAGGUUCGUCAAUUGCGAAAUGUUAUGGAGUACAAAAAGUAAAAACUUUCUUCAUCAGCUACAUGCCAGUGGAGGGUCAUAUUAGAACCAAUUCACAAAUAUUGACCUCCUGACCCAAUGUUGUAGCCCUGAGUAUUUUCAUGACAAUUUGGUACACUCUUACCUAGGAACCCGACUGGCUAUUUCUCCUGGUCUGCUAAUUCGUCUCUAUAAAGUUUUUUUCUAGAAUAUUGAGUCGAUAAAUUCAAGAAUUUGUAUACAUAUUGACCGACCAUCGCCAGAAUAUUUUGAUCCUAACUGAGUACACUUUUAUCUGUGAGCUCGAACUUUCGAUUAGAUUAUCUAUUGAAAAUUCAGUCUUUUCAAUAUUAAGUCAAUAAAUUCAAGAAUAUGCAUAAAUAUUGACCUAACAUUGCCUGAAUAUUUUGAUAUUAUCUUUAGCAUCAGUUACAGCAUACCCUUGCCUGGAAUCUGUACCGGCUAUGUCUUUUCGGACGAUUUGUCAGUUGAAAGUUUAGUCUCUACAAUAGUUAGUCAAUAAAUUGAAUACUUUUGCUCAAUAUUGCUAAACGAAUAUUGCCCGAAUAUUUUGUUCUUAACUGGGUACACUCUUACCUAAGUGCUCGACCUUUCAAUUAGAUUGUCUGUUGAAAAUUCAGUCUCUUCAAUAUUAAAUCAAUAAAUUCAAAGAUUUGCACAAUAUUGUUAACUCACACUGAAAAAUAAUCCAGUUUUCUGGAUUUUAAGGCACGUUGGAAGCGUUGACUACAUCU